This 902-nucleotide long non-coding RNA is filed under the name Equus caballus (horse). Its description in RNAcentral is "lncRNA (ENSECAG00000038788.2)". Lineage: Eukaryota; Metazoa; Chordata; Mammalia; Perissodactyla; Equidae. The record is from RNAcentral.
CAAUUCCUACUGAUCCUUCGGUUCUCAGCCUAGCGAUCACCUCCUCCAGGAAGUUCUCCUGGCCUCCCCCUAGCCUGGGGGCAGAGCCUCGGACUCUGAAAGCCUUUCAACAAAGCACUGGCUGUCCUCUCAGCCCGUCACCUGUGGGCAUGAAGAUGUCAGCUCCCUGGCCAACCACUCAGGUGCCAUUCACACAAAUGUGUGCGUGGGGGAUGGAAGGCAGCGCACAGAAGCCUGCUCUGGCUUGCCCGGCUCAGCACAUUGAAAUCUAGAAAGGAAGAGGGGAUGAGCAAAGAGGAGGAGCACGGUGCCUACCAGGAGCCGCACACCUUGCUACACGCUCUCUAUGUGGGCGAUUGUUUGCGCUCACAGUGAAUCUGGGAAAUAGAUUCCGCAUGCCCCCUUUCCAGAUGAGGAAACUGAGGCUUGGAGAGAUUCCAGAAUUUGCAGCUCCAAGGUCAUGCAGCUCCAAGUAGCAGAUGAGGUUUCUUGACCUGAGGCCAGUGCUCCCUCUGUGACUUUACAGCUCCUGGGAGAAUGAGCUGGGCAGCCCUGGCCGGGGCUAUGGUAGCUCCAGCUGGCCCCUCGUCUAGUCUUGCUGCUGUCACCAGUCCCGAGAGGCCCUCCCACUCUUUCAGGAGUCACGUCUCCUAGGUAGCACUGCAUGGAGUCCGUCGUCUUGGCCCCUGACUGCUCAGCUGACCACUUGGCCCCUGUGGAGCCCAGCCCAGGACCCUGAGGGACAGGCAGCAAGAGAGGCCUCGAGGCAGGAGGAGGCUAUCAGAGGCUGGGUAGAGGCUGCCUCUGCCACUGCGGGGACAUCUGACAUGAGUGUGCUAUAUGGAGCUGCUGCUCUCUGGCCGUUGCUUGACCCUGAGCCCUGGGUCACUAGAAAGAGUAGG